UAACGCGUGGGAAUCUGCGCUGGAGUGGGGGAUAACCGAGGGAAACCUCGGCUAAUACCGGAUACGUCCUGAGGGAGAAAGAUUUAUCGCUCUAGGAGGGGCCCGCGUCGGAUUAGCUAGUUGGUGAGGUAACGGCUCACCAAGGGGACGAUCCGUAGCUGAUCUGAGAGGAUGAUCAGCCACACUGGGACUGGGACACGGCCCAGACUCCUACGGGGGGGAGCAGUGGGGAAUAUUGGGCAAUGGGGGGAACCCUGAUCCAGCAAUGCCGCGUGAGUGAUGAAGGCCUUAGGGUUGU
Molecule: ribosomal RNA, 298 nt
Filed under: uncultured Sphingomonadaceae bacterium
Lineage: Bacteria; Pseudomonadati; Pseudomonadota; Alphaproteobacteria; Sphingomonadales; Sphingomonadaceae
Description: partial 16S ribosomal RNA
Rfam family: Bacterial small subunit ribosomal RNA
Source: RNAcentral